Molecule: long non-coding RNA, 554 nt
Organism: Mercurialis annua (annual mercury)
Lineage: Eukaryota; Viridiplantae; Streptophyta; Magnoliopsida; Malpighiales; Euphorbiaceae
Exons: 2
Source: RefSeq, a predicted model, not a curated record
GAUCUUAGAGACACUUGUUUUUUCCAGUAGGUUCAGUAGAAAAUCAAUUGUAGCAUUUACUAGUUGAUAGUCUGUCAAUUAAUGGCAAGAGUUAGGGAUAUAAUUGAAGAUUUUAAAGAUGAAGUUAGGCACACUACUGUUUUAUUGGGAUACAAUGAGCUGAAUGAUAGCAAUGCCAGGUACCGAGACCAACCGACGGCAUCUUAGCUCCGGUCUUCAAUUCGAAGAAAACUUGGGCGUGUGCUUCUCGUUGACGAGGAGGAGACGUAGGCCGCGAAUGAGCCAUUGAUUUUCUAGUGUUAUUUUCUUUUCUUGUUUUCUUUGCUUGAGAUGAGAAGCAUGGCAAACAACUCAUUCUUCAACUAUUGCAUUGUAUCUUAUUCUUUACAAGUAACUUUUUGAUUCCACCGAUUCAAUUCUUUUGUUUUUGGUAUUGGUGAUUUGUUCGGUGGCUUUAGGGUGGUGAUUUUAUCAAUAUGAUUAAUGAUUUUGCUAUGUUUUGUGAUUUUAUUUUGUAAUUUAUGGUUGUUAUGAUUUUGUUGUUGGUUUUCCAA